GGGUACAAGCAUACCAACACUAAUGCACUGGAUCCCAUCAAAACUUCGAAGUCAAACGUGCUUGGGCGAGAGUAGUACCAAGAUGGGUGACCUCAUGGGAGGACCUCGUGUUGCACCCC
RNAcentral lists this ribosomal RNA (119 nucleotides) under Jatropha curcas. Lineage: Eukaryota; Viridiplantae; Streptophyta; Magnoliopsida; Malpighiales; Euphorbiaceae. The record is from RNAcentral.